RNAcentral lists this ribosomal RNA (250 nucleotides) under uncultured bacterium. RNAcentral's name for it is "partial 16S ribosomal RNA". It matches the Rfam family "Bacterial small subunit ribosomal RNA", at positions 355 to 597 of the family's 1533-position model. The record is from RNAcentral.
UGGGGAAUAUUGCGCAAUGGGCGAAAGCCUGACGCAGCGACGCCGCGUGGAGGAUGAAGGUCUUAGGAUUGUAAACUCCUGUUAAGUGGGAAGAAAAGUCUGUCAGUAAUAUGGACAGAUUAUGACGGUACCGCUAAAGAAAGCACCGGCUAACUUCGUGCCAGCAGCCGCGGUAAUACGAGGGGUGCAAGCGUUAUUCGGAUUUACUGGGCGUAAAGGGUGUGUAGACGGUUUACUAAGUCUGUUGUUA